ACUUUACUAGGGUUUCUAGAUUGUUACUAGGGUCAUCUCUGUGCUUCUUUGUCUACAAUUUUGGAAAAAGUGAUGACGCCAUUGCUCUUUCCCAAAUGUAGACAAAGCAAUACCGUGAUGACGUCGCGGAGAGUUUGUUGAGAUGCUACGAACGUGUGUAUGUUUCAUGUUUGUUGUUUGAUUUUGCUGACUGCUGAGUUCUUUUUUUCUUGGAUCUCGCUCAAAACUAGAUCCUCACUACAGAGCAUAACUGUUGAUCUUUCUUAUUCCAGAUUUGCUCUGAACAAGGGCAUCUAAAUUCACAGAUUCGUGUGAUUAUUGUUCUAGACUUGCAGACUUCUUUUUUUCGUUUUUUUUUUGCAAAUCCAGAUUUGUUUUCUGAAUGGUGAAUUCGUGGUCCAGUAACGUUUUGAUACCUUUCAAAGAGAUAAACAUAACAGAACAAAAUU
RNAcentral lists this small RNA (449 nucleotides) under Arabidopsis thaliana (thale cress). RNAcentral's name for it is "partial miR158". The stretch from base 28 to 127 matches the Rfam family "MIR158 microRNA precursor family". The record is from RNAcentral. Lineage: Eukaryota; Viridiplantae; Streptophyta; Magnoliopsida; Brassicales; Brassicaceae.